GUGUUGUAUGAAAGAAGUUAGCACUCCCCUUUACAAAGAUGUAAGAGGCCCUCAAGUCUGACAAUCCACAUAUGCUUUAAGGCAUUGCCACGUACUUUGUGGCACCUAUCAUUUUUAUUA
Small nuclear RNA from Hyaena hyaena (striped hyena), 120 nucleotides. The record is from RefSeq and is a predicted model, not a curated record. Lineage: Eukaryota; Metazoa; Chordata; Mammalia; Carnivora; Hyaenidae.